GUGGGGAAUCUUGCGCAAUGGGCGAAAGCCUGACGCAGCCAUGCCGCGUGAAUGAUGAAGGUCUUAGGAUUGUAAAAUUCUUUCACCGGGGACGAUAAUGACGGUACCCGGAGAAGAAGCCCCGGCUAACUUCGUGCCAGCAGCCGCGGUAAUACGAAGGGGGCUAGCGUUGCUCGGAAUUACUGGGCGUAAAGGGCGCGUAGGCGGAUCGUUAAGUCAGUGGUGAAAUCCCAGAGCUCAACUCUGGAACUGCCCUUGAUACUGGCGAUCUUGAGUGUGAGAGAGGUAUGUGGAACUCCGAGUGUAGAGGUGAAAUUCGUAGAUAUUCGGAAGAACACCAGUGGCGAAGGUGACAUACUGGCUCAUUACUGACGCUGAGGCGCGAAAGCGUGGGGAGCAAACAGGAUUAGAAACCCUGGUAGUCC
Molecule: ribosomal RNA, 425 nt
Filed under: uncultured bacterium
Lineage: Bacteria
Description: partial 16S ribosomal RNA
Rfam family: Bacterial small subunit ribosomal RNA
Source: RNAcentral